AGAGAGAAAAAAUCACAAAAAUCACGUGGACGAACACAUCGGCAGAAAGGGAGACUAAAAUUUUUUUUUUUUAUGCUCGUUCUCCUCAUUUUUUCUCUCUCUCUCUCUCCCGUUUAAAUUGUCGACUAAGAGAAGAACGUUUAAAGAGUGUCCUCCUGUAUUUCAACACGACUAUAAAAAUAUAAAAUAAUGAAU
RNAcentral lists this non-coding RNA (195 nucleotides) under Bathycoccus prasinos. Lineage: Eukaryota; Viridiplantae; Chlorophyta; Mamiellophyceae; Mamiellales; Bathycoccaceae. The record is from RNAcentral.